Molecule: ribosomal RNA, 496 nt
Filed under: uncultured Trichococcus sp.
Lineage: Bacteria; Bacillati; Bacillota; Bacilli; Lactobacillales; Carnobacteriaceae
Description: partial 16S rRNA
Rfam family: Bacterial small subunit ribosomal RNA
Source: RNAcentral
GGWCUUYCCYUUSGGGGMCAAAGRRACRGKKGGKSCAKGGUKGUCGUCAGCUCGUGUCGUGGAGAUGUGGGGUUAAGUCCCGCAACGAGCGCAACCCCUAUUGUUAGUUGCCAGCAUUCAGUUGGGCACUCUAAUGAGACUGCCGGKUGACAAACCGGAGGAAGGUGGGGGAUGACGUCAAAUCAUCAUGCCCCUUAUGACCUGGGCUACACACGUGCUACAAUGGAUGGUACAACGAGCAGCAAGACCGCGAGGUCAAGCGAAUCUCUUAAAGCCAUUCUCAGUUCGGGAUUGCAGGCUGCAGCUCGCCUGCAUGAAGCCGGAAUCGCUAGUAAUCGCGGAUCAGCACGCCGCGGUGAAUACGUUCCCGGGUCUUGUACACACCGCCCGUCACACCACGAGAGUUUGUAACACCCGAAGUCGGUGAGGUAACCUUUUUGGAGCCAGCCGCCUAAGGUGGGACAGAUGAUUGGGGUGAAGUCGUAACAAGGUAACC